Talpa occidentalis (Iberian mole) is the source of this 10567-nucleotide RNA transcript. It is a transcript of the gene named diacylglycerol kinase eta, with no coding region annotated. Lineage: Eukaryota; Metazoa; Chordata; Mammalia; Eulipotyphla; Talpidae. The transcript is spliced from 31 exons. The record is from RefSeq and is a predicted model, not a curated record.
CAGGAAUCGGACAGGAUGGCCGGGGCCGGUGGCCAGCACCACCCUCCGGGCGCCGCGGGCGGAGCGGCCGCCGGGGCUGGCGCCGCGGUCACCCCAGCCGCUGCCCCGGCGGGCCCGGGAGAGGAUUCAUCCGACAGCGAAGCGGAGCAAGAGGGACCCCAGAAACUGAUCCGCAAAGUGUCCACCUCCGGGCAGAUUCGGACCAAGACCAGCAUUAAAGAGGGACAACUAUUGAAGCAAACCAGUUCUUUCCAGAGGUGGAAAAAGCGAUACUUCAAACUUCGAGGUCGUACACUUUAUUAUGCCAAGGACUCAAAGUCUCUGAUAUUUGAUGAAGUGGACCUCUCAGAUGCCAGUGUAGCUGAAGCGAGCACAAAAAAUGCUAAUAACAGCUUCACGAUAAUCACUCCAUUCAGAAGACUCAUGCUAUGUGCUGAGAACAGAAAGGAGAUGGAGGAUUGGAUCAGCUCACUGAAGUCUGUACAGACCAGAGAACCUUACGAGGUGGCCCAGUUUAAUGUGGAACAUUUCUCAGGGAUGCAUAACUGGUACGCCUGCUCCCACGCCCGACCCACUUUCUGUAACGUGUGCAGGGAGAGUCUUUCCGGAGUCACUUCCCACGGCCUGUCCUGCGAAGUGUGUAAAUUCAAGGCUCACAAAAGAUGUGCAGUGAGGGCAACCAAUAACUGCAAAUGGACCACUCUGGCCUCUGUCGGGAAGGACAUCAUAGAGGAUGAGGAUGGAGUAGCCAUGCCUCACCAGUGGCUUGAGGGCAACUUGCCCGUGAGCGCCAAAUGUGCUGUCUGUGACAAAACAUGUGGCAGUGUUCUCCGUCUGCAAGACUGGAAAUGCCUUUGGUGUAAAACAAUGGUACAUACUGCCUGCAAAGAUUUGUACCAUCCUGUAUGUCCACUUGGCCAGUGUAAAGUGUCUAUCAUACCUCCAAUUGCACUAAACAGCACCGAUUCUGAUGGUUUCUGUAGAGCAACAUUUUCAUUCUGUGUUAGUCCUCUAUUGGUUUUUGUCAAUUCUAAGAGUGGAGAUAAUCAGGGAGUAAAGUUCCUCCGGCGAUUCAAACAGUUACUAAAUCCAGCUCAGGUGUUUGACUUAAUGAAUGGAGGUCCUCAUUUAGGUUUAAGAUUAUUCCAGAAGUUUGACAAUUUCCGGAUUCUUGUUUGUGGAGGAGAUGGAAGUGUAGGUUGGGUUUUGUCAGAAAUUGAUAAACUCAACUUGAAUAAACAGUGUCAGCUGGGAGUCUUGCCCUUAGGGACAGGCAAUGACCUUGCUCGGGUUCUUGGCUGGGGAGGUUCCUAUGAUGAUGACACCCAACUUCCUCAGAUACUAGAGAAGUUGGAACGAGCCAGCACCAAGAUGUUGGACAGGUGGAGUAUAAUGACUUAUGAACUCAAAUUGCCACCAAAGGCUUCUCUACUUCCAGAGCCUCCAGAAGCAUCUGAAGAAUUUUAUAUGACAAUUUAUGAAGACUCAGUUGCAGCUCAUCUUACCAAAAUCCUCAAUUCUGAUGAACAUGCAGUGGUCAUAUCAUCUGCCAAGAUACUAUGUGAAACUGUAAAAGACUUCGUUGCCAAAGUAGAGAAGGCACAUGAAAAAACAUUGGAAAAUGCUGUUGUAGCUGAUGCUGUGGCCAGUAAAUGUUCAGUCCUUAACGAGAAACUGGAACAACUGCUCCAGGCCUUGCACACAGACUUUCAAAAAGCUCCUUCAGAUUUCUCUGGGGUCAGCCCUGUCAUCGUAGAAGAAGAUCCUGUAGAAUCUUCGAGUGAAGAUUCCUUGUGUGAAAGCAAGGAACAACUUGUGGAUGACACGACAAGACCCUCCUCUCAGAAGGCUGUCAAACCAAAGGAAAUAAUGCUGCGGGCAAACAGUUUAAAGAAAGCUGUGAGGCAAGUCAUUGAAGAAGCCGCAAAAGCAAUGGAUGACCAUACAGUUCACCCCUGUGAGCCAGUUAAUCAGUCAUUUGAUUAUGAUAGUACAGAAACAGAUGAAUCUAAAGAAGAUUCUAAAGAUGAUGAUGCAAAAGAAACAUUAGCUGUUAAAAUGGCACCUCGGUCUCCAGAUGGUCGGGCAAGCCGUUCCCAAACUGACUCUGCCCCUGGUCCCACUGUGGCAGCUUGUAAAGAAAACCUCCCUGUGCUCAAUACCAGAAUAAUCUGCCCAGGUUUAAGAGCAGGACUAGCUGCCUCAAUUGCUGGGAGUUCUAUUAUCAACAAAAUGUUACUAGCAAAUAUUGAUCCUUUUGGUGCAACACCAUUUAUUGACCCAGAUCCAGAUUCAGUAGAUGGAUAUUCAGAAAAAUGUGUCAUGAACAAUUACUUUGGGAUUGGAUUAGAUGCAAAAAUUUCACUAGAAUUUAAUAAUAAGAGAGAGGAACACCCUGAAAAAUGCAGGAGCCGAACUAAAAACUUGAUGUGGUAUGGAGUCCUUGGAACCCGGGAAUUGUUACAGAGAUCAUACAAGAAUUUAGAACAGAGGGUGCAACUUGAGUGUGAUGGACAGUAUAUUCCUCUGCCCAGUCUGCAAGGAAUAGCGGUAUUGAACAUCCCCAGCUAUGCUGGAGGCACUAACUUCUGGGGUGGAACUAAAGAGGAUGAUAUAUUUGCUGCACCAUCAUUUGAUGACAAAAUCCUGGAAGUUGUUGCAAUAUUUGAUAGUGUGCAAAUGGCAGUUUCAAGGGUCAUUAAACUUCAGCAUCAUCGAAUAGCCCAGUGCCGUACAGUAAAAAUCACCAUAUUUGGUGAUGAGGGAGUCCCAGUGCAGGUGGAUGGUGAAGCAUGGGUUCAGCCUCCAGGGAUCAUCAAAAUUGUACACAAAAAUAGAGCUCAGAUGCUAACAAGGGACAGGGCUUUUGAAAGCACUUUAAAAUCUUGGGAAGAUAAACAGAAGUGUGAUUCUGGUAAACCAGUUCUUCGAACCCAUUUGUACAUCCAACAUGCCGUUGACUUGGCAACAGAAGAGGUGUCACAGAUGCAGCUGUGCUCCCAAGCUGCAGAGGAGCUCAUUACCAGAAUUUGUGACGCAGCUACCAUUCACUGUCUUUUGGAGCAGGAGCUGGCCCACGCGGUGAACGCAUGCUCCCACGCACUGAAUAAAGCUAACCCACGGGCUCCAGAGAGUCUUACAAGAGACACCGCCACUGAAAUAGCCAUCAAUGUGAAGGCUCUGUACAAUGAAACAGAAUCUUUACUAGUCGGCAGAGUUCCUUUGCAAUUGGAAUCACCACAUGAAGAGCGUGUAUCCAAUGCCUUACAUUCUGUGGAGGUGGAGUUACAGAAACUAACAGAGAUCCCUUGGCUUUAUUAUAUUUUGCACCCAAAUGAGGAUGAGGAGCCUCCUAUGGAUUGCACCAAGAGAAACAACAGGAGCACAGUAUUUCGCAUAGUGCCAAAAUUUAAAAAGGAAAAGGUUCAGAAGCAGAAGACAAGUUCCCAGUCUGUUCAGAAAUGGGGCACAGAGGAAGUUGCUGCUUGGCUGGAUCUGCUCAAUUUGGGAGAAUACAAAGAAAUCUUCAUUCGUCAUGACAUCAGAGGGGCUGAACUUUUGCAUCUGGAAAGGCGAGAUCUUAAGGACCUGGGGAUACCGAAGGUCGGUCAUAUGAAGCGAAUUCUCCAGGGAAUUAAGGAACUUGGAAGGAGUACUCCCCAGUCUGAGGUGUAAUCACAUUGGUGCUAUUCCUUGGAAGAGAAAGAAUUGCCACGCAAUACAAAGUGCUUGGAAGCAAUGGCUGUCCUUGUAGUUUUCUGCCUGGAGAAAUGCAUGUGGUGGUUUUAUAACACCAAGUUCCUUAAAUCAGUGGAAAAGAAGAUUGAGAAGUGAAACUGAUGUCACAACCUUGACACCUAGCCUCUGCCCCCUACCUUCCUUGGGGGCUUCCCACAGUGUCUGGCUGCGUCCUUCUCCCAUUCCUCUGGCUGUCCCAUGCCAAGUAUGUUGGGGCUUGGGUUUUUUUUUUUUUUUUUUUUUUUUGUCUCUGCUAUGGCAUCUUCUCAGUGACUUCUAUUUAGCAAGCUGUGUCAGAUGGGUCAUAGGAUGCCUUUGCAAUAGGAUGCCUUUCUAAAGAAACAUCCAAACAAUCUAAAAGGCAAUGAUUAUUGAUUUUUAUAAUAUGCAACACAUUGAUUUUUAUCUUUAUUAUUGUUUCUCUGUAUUUUUUUCUUCAAGUUUUGUUUAGAGACAUGGCUGUUAGAAGAAAAAAUUCUAAAGGUUUAUCAUUUCAGAGAACUGAGAGAUUAAAAGACAGCUGGACUGUACCUAUUUGAAUACUUUUUGUUAUUUUCUGAAACAGAAGUGUAACUGAGACUGUAUUAAACUCAGUAACAAUAAUAAAGAUAAACCUAUAUUACUAAUAUAGGUGAACAGAUUAGUUCCUUUUAUGUAGUUAAGAUAUUCUAUUUACAUAUAUUUAUACUCUUUGAAUUUUUAUGCACUUCCAAACCUUAGUUGGAAAAAUAGAAACCAAGCCACUACUUAAGUUAUUAAAUCCCUACAUAAAGUAUUUCAUUGCAGCUACAAGUUAUUCAUUGUAUAGGAAUUUAUAAAUAGUCUUGGUAUUUCAUAGGAACUGCAUUUCAAGAGUAAAUUAACUAAAUCUAAAGGAACAUAAGGUUACUUUUAAAAUGCAUUAAAGUUUCAUACUCAGUUGAUAAUGCCACUGACAUAGGAUCAAUGCAGUUAGAUAUACAAGCUAAAGAGGAAAAAGAGUCUAUUUUGUGGUCCUUACUGUUUGAUUGCACUAUUGUUUACCAUAGCUUAGCCAUAUCUAUUUCUGUAUUCUCAGUAUUAAGCUGAAAUGUAGCUAAAGAUUUCUUACAGUUCUGGUAACUGGUAACUAGUAUUGUAAAAGGCUCUGGCAUUGUAACAUUCCCAGUUUUGUGAGUUAUAUAUUGUAUAAUGAAGAUGACUAUAACUGAUAAAUCGGAGUAAUAUAUUUAUCUAGAGCUGGGAAAAUACAAUAAUUAUUUUCAAAUCUUCAAGUAAGUUGUAUUAAAUUUUUUCUUCCUUUUAAGUAAGAUAAAAAGUCUCACUUUUAUGUUAAAAUGUCUAUUUAUACAACAUGUUUCUCCUUUUACUGGUCUUAUUAAUUUUCAUAUUAAAUUUUUUCUUAUCUUUUUAUACCAAAAUAAUUAUGCUGGUGAUUCAAACUGCCAAGAUGUAUUUUAAUUUGCUGGAAUCUUGGCAGACGAAAUAUUCAAUAACAAACCAGCUUUGUAUAUUUUGUGGCUUUAAGGCAGGAAUUUUACCUUCAAAUCUCUAAAUGAGGCAGUGCUGGUAUCAGCAAAGUUAAUAAUAGUAUUACUCAGUCAUCAGUAGAAGGUUUUCAAAAGUUGUAUAAAUCAGUGCAUUUAUUUAUUAUGUUGUGAAACUUAAUCUGUAUACAAAAUGCAUAUUCUAGCUCUUUGUUAUGCUGUUGCUUAGAGUAUAGUAACACAAUUCUGUUAACUAUUUACUUAUGUACUUGAAGUACUCAUUUCUGUCAAACAGAUGCCCAACUUUUUUCCUUACAAAAAGAAAAAAAUGGUAUUCUUUACCAUCAUAGGUAACUGACUAGUAAUAGGAACUUCGUUAAAUGUUGAAAAAUACAUAUGGAAUAAAGAUGUAAAGCCAAAAUGAAAUCACCAAUAUAAGAAUUUAAUGUAGCCUUAGGAUUAUUUUGUUAUUUUUUGCCAAUAUAUAUUUUAUCCUGAGGUCAGAACUUACUUUCUAGAGUAAAUUUUCAGUUUUCGAGUGAAUGAGUUCUCAGUGAUUAUACUGCCAAUUUGAUCUUUAAAAGAAAAAAUGUCACAAGCAUGUACCGGCCAGCUUUUGAUUCUCGGGAGUCUAUUUUUUAACACAUUUGCAUUUGGACUGGUUCACAAAUAAUGAUAUGAAAGGUAGUAGUUUAGUUUUUUGUUUUCUCAGUUAAGUUAAUGUGAUUUCAAUUGGAUUUUUAAAUUAUUUCUGCUUAAGAGUAUUCUUAAUCAAUUGUUGAAAAAACUAAAAAUUUAAAACAGAAUGUCACAACAUACAAAACAGAAUAAAAUUGCAUAUUUUUGGGGAAGACAAAAAAGCUAUUCUGAGUUAAGCUGAGGCAGUAUUAUAUACCAAAGAAAUUGCUUUAACAAACCCUAAAUGCAACUGUUUUAUUGUUUUUACAGUAUAAGCAGUACAUGAAUUGUGAAUUAUCUAAGAAGUACAGUAGGAGAUUAAAUAGGAAUUAGUUUAUUAUGAUUUUAAAGAGUUUUAUAUUCAUUUUACCAUAGUACAUGCAAUUAUUGAAGGUAGGGAAAAGAAAAUACGUUAGAAACAUGGAAAUUAAAGGAAAUAGGAGCUUGAUCUGGCAAUGCAGGAAAGAUUUGGAAAUGGAUCCUUUGAGCAUAUCUUUAUAUAAUAAAUAUAAAUGUCUUUAACCUUAUAGAAAUACAAAAUACUUGUGGGAAGUACAAUAGGCACAGUACCACACAGACAAAAAAAUGUUCCACUGGUGAAGUCUGACACUACUUCUGUAUCUUAUCAAAACAGCCAGUGAAUUCGGGAGCCCCUUGUUCUGUUGAAGAAGGGGUAGUUUGUUGAACAAGGUAGUUUGGAUCAUCUGGUCAUUUGUGUUUACUACAUGAGGCAAAUAUCUGAUCUUGCUCAACUUAGGUGAUACAGGGAAAAAUAAUCAGAAGAGCUUAAGCUAGUUCCUAGAGAACACAGUUACACGUGGAUUAGAACAUACCCUGCAGACUAAAGAGAUUUUUAUGAUCUUGCUUUAAGCCUUGAAAUUUGUUAGCAAUGAUGGAUUAUCCUUCAUUUGAAAUGAGAAAAUUAUUAAAAAUUACAAUAUUAUAAGUAGCUGAAUCCUGUGAUUCUGGAGAUGGGAAUAGUGAGGGUUUAUGGGAUCUGAUCAGUGACUGUGUCCUUUCUACAAAGCUGUAUGUUUUGGUGACUCAUUUUCCCCAACUAGAAAUAGCACACAAUGUUAUCAACUAUAAGUAUUUGGUAAUUUUUCUUUUACAAGAGGAACUAUCUAAGUAUGCAUCAUACCUAAAUCUGCCCUUUCUUUCCUCUGUCAAUUUAUAUGUAAACAUUAAAAUUAAAAGUCCAAAUUAAUAUUCCUUGAUGUUCAGUUUUAAAAGACAAGUGCAGUUCUAAUAGUACUAUCUGUACCAGAGUCAGUCAUGGUAUUUUCAUCUGGAUGCUUUAAGUUCAUAUUAUUCAUUUGAGAAUAUGCUAAGAACUCACUUCUAAAGUCUUCAGAAAUUUAGAAUAAUUUUAUUUUUUCAAUACUCACCUCCAGACAGCGAUUUGAUAGCAGUGCUUUGUGUGUGUGUGUGUAUCAAGUCUUUUCUUAGACUAACUCUCCAAAGGGAAAAUUGUCUUCUUAAGUCAGUGGUUGAAAAAUUGGAAUAUGGGACUCCCUUACCUUGUUUUCCCCUGUGAUGUAAUGUACCAUCUGUACUAAGUGACUUCUGCAUAGAUUCUUUGCUGUUUCUUCCAAGCCUGGGUCUCUGUGCGAUGAUACUCCCUCGUGCAAAGUACCUUCAAAAUUUUCUGUAAAGAAACUAGAGAUUAUCUUAAUUACUACCAUAAUGGAAAUCUGAGUGUCAUUAAAAGAAAUCAUUUCAAAUGACCUAGCUAAAAUCAUUAAUUAUAUAUGAGGGUAAAGGAAUAUUGACUAUUUAUACCUGACAUUCAAAGUCAGCCACCCUAUGAUCUUUAAUGUAAAGAUUUCUUUGUUAAAUCUGGUAAUUUUGUAACAUAAUAUGAUAACUUGGAGCUCUUAUUGCAUCUCCCUCCCCUGAAAAUGUUGAAAUUAUAAGAAGGUGUAAAGUGCAAACUGAUGGUAUAAGGAAAAAACUGAAUCAGAACUCAUCAGCAUGAUAUUCUGACCUGUCUUAAUGACACAGCUUACUUUUCAUGAAGACAGAUCUCUAAAUGAUGAUUUCAGAAUGACUGAUACAGUGACUACAAGAAAUUAUUUUUCUGAAAAUUUUCUUCUCACAGGGACCUAAUUAAUAGACAUGUGAUUUUGCAUAAUGAAGAUUAACUAUGACAUUAGUUAGAUCCUGCUUACAGAUAUAAACUGAAUUUGUGUCAUUUCAAGUCAUUUCUAGUGUAUGAUUAUUCAUUUUUUAUUCAAAUGUAAGAAGUCUUGUUUGCCACAGUUAUUACCCCUUGUGGAAUAUAAUAACUAAAAAUUGUUACCAAGGGGUCUGCUUUCCUUUUGUGAUUCUAUAAAACCUUUAAAAUGUCUCAAAAUUAUGACAAAUGUUACACCAAAAACUCUUAGAAGUGAAUAAUUUCUAAAAUUAAAUAGUUGUCCAAAAUGCAUAUAAUUAAAUUUAAAUGCCCUCUUUUUCCCUCACUUAAUGAACAUUUUCCUAUCUUCUCUGUACUCAGUACUUGAUUAGAUGCCGAGGCUACAAAUGAAAUAAGGCAUAGCUCUUGUCUGGUAAAGUUCAAGUUUGUUUUCAUAAUUGUUUUUCGACAGUUUGUUAAAUUUAGAGGACUUUUUUAUUAAAUUAUUUUUUUACUGAGGUAACAGUUUGUAACACUUUGUUUUAGAGGUGUAGGUUGACACCUUUGAGAGGUAUGCUCCCAUGCCACACCACACAUCCCACCAAAGCCCCAAGAGCCUUUCACCAUAGCUCAUUAGGCCUCCCACCCCCGCACUUACCCUUUGCUCCCUAUUCGCUACCAUCUUCCUCUGAUAGCCUUAGCUGUGCAGUCAGAUUUUAGGGGGCUUUUUGGUUUGUCUGUUCCUUUGCUUUGUUUCUUUAUAUUCCACAUGAGAAUGAAACCAUCUGAUGCAUAUCUUUCUCCUUCUGAUUUAUUGCAUUUAGCGUAGUCCUCUCCAAUUCAAUUCAUGUUGUCACAAAUUGCAACAUUUCAUUUCUUAAAUAGUGAAGUAAUAUUCCUGUGCGUAUAUUUACCACAUCUUCUUUAUCACCUUAUCUGUCCUUAUGCAUUUAAAUUGUUUUCAUUAGCACUAUUAUAAAUAGUGCUUCAAUGAACAUAGGAGUGUAUAUAUCCCUUCAAAUUAGGGAGGGCAUUUUUAAAAACAAGUAUUUCUCAGGUUAUUUCAGAGUAGUCUCCUUCCAAUAAAAAACUGACCAAAUUCUCUGUAAUAAGGAAGUGAUCCAAUUUUUAUGUGAAAUUUUUUUUUUUUGUAUUUUUAGGUCAUCUGCAGUUAAUGUUUGACCAUCACUUGUCAAUUACAUCUUUCAUCAAUCCCGUAGAACCCUGUUUCCACAACCAUAGGUGCUAUAUGUGACCCAAGUGACUAACAGUAUUAUCGAAUAUGAGCAAAAUUUCAGGUCCAUUUUAAGAAGGGAUAGAUCCUGAUUAGUAACUCACCAAAAUACAUAAGGUAUGCAUGUGAACCGCAGUAGAGGGGAAAGUUUUAAGGGAAUGCUUUCUGGUAUACUUGAAAGGCUCCACUCCAAGUUAUGGGUUGAUGGUUCCAUCUUGAUUAUAUUUAAUGGAAGUAGAAAGAAAUAAUAUUUAGCAGGUCAAUGCACAGCUAGUAUUUGUGUGCCUCAGAACACUGAUAUACAGAUGAACCCAAACAAAAAUAUUUGAAUUAAAAAAAAUUAACUUCUCUAAAUACUUGAUGAUUAGGCAGUAGGGUUUCUUUGAGAAGGAAAAGAAUAUCUUUAUAUUUAUUGUUAGCAAGUGUGGAAGGACAUUACUUGUAUGUAUAGUUACAUUGUGAUAGGCAUAUUUUGAACUGUUUCCCAUUAGCAUAAAGUAUCAACCAUUUCUUUGUUCUCUAGCAAAAAAAAAAAUUCUUAGUUUAAUACAACUUUACUCUUUUUUCUACAUUAUAAAGGGUCCACAAAAGGAGGCUCAGAUGCUGGACAUUUGUCCUUAUGUUCAGCAUAUUCUUGUUACCUUUCAAUAAAUAUAAUCAGUAGUUAUUGGCUGUUUAUCAUCGUAUUAAAAACAUAGCAGUUUACUUCCUUUUGUCCUUUACAUUGCAAAAGAUAGUUUUAAUUUCACUUUUGUCAUAUUAUUUAUAGUUAAAAAUUUACUACAUUUUGGUAGUCUGUUGUAAAACUUGUACUUGUGUCUGAAAGAUGCAGAUUGUGUUUAUUUAUUACACAGUGGGCUCUGUUUGCUGCAGAAAAGAGUGAAACUUUUAACUGCUUAGCACACUUGCCAGUGAAAUAUACCUGACAGAGCAGAGGUUAUAACUUUGGCUCUAAUUACUUUUAAUAAUGGUAAGAAACGUGAGUUUUGUUUGUUUACAUGCUGUUUACAAUGGCAUAAUUUUUUAAAUAUAUACAACAAUUGAGAUAUUUAUUGCAUACUAUUUUAAAGAUGUUUUAUGUGUUUUCACCUUUGGAAUAUAUUGUUACAGUUCCUUAUACAGAUAAUUUGGGUGGCUUUGUUAAUGUAGCUAGUAAUUUUUAUGACUACUAAGUGACCGGUUUUCCGUGCCUUUUAUUGUGGGAUGCAUGAUUAUGUAUUUAUUGUACGGAAGUCACUGAUGUGUGUAUUUUUGUACUUUGCUGAGAUUAAUGAUUGAUCUCGAUGUACAUGAUGAUGAUGAGAGAUGCCUUUCCCAAAGGGCACUGCCUUGAGA